Molecule: ribosomal RNA, 506 nt
Filed under: uncultured bacterium
Lineage: Bacteria
Description: partial 16S ribosomal RNA
Rfam family: Bacterial small subunit ribosomal RNA
Source: RNAcentral
GACGAACGCUGGCGGCGUGCUUAACACAUGCAAGUCGAACGGUGAAGGGACUGGUUUUGCUGGUCCUGGAUGAGUGGCGAACGGGUGAGUAACACGUGAGUAACCUGCCCCCUUCUUCUGGAUAACCGCAUGAAAGUGUGGCUAAUACGGGAUAUUCUGGGUCUGUCGCAUGGUGGGCCUGGGAAAGAUUGCGCCUUUUUUGGUGUUUUUGGUGGGGGAUGGGCUCGCGGCCUAUCAGCUUGUUGGGGGGGUGAUGGCCUACCAAGGCGGUGACGGGUGGCCGGCCUGAGAGGGUGGACGGUCACACUGGGACUGAGACACGGCCCAGACUCCUACGGGAGGCAGCAGUGGGGAAUAUUGCACAAUGGGCGCAAGCCUGAUGCAGCGACGCCGCGUGAGGGAUGGAGGCCUUCGGGUUGUGAACCUCUUUCGCCAGUGAAGCAGGCCUGCCUCUUUUUGUGGGUGGGUUGACGGUAGCUGGAUAAGAAGCGCCGGCUAACUACGUG